ACAGAAGCAAGUGUGGAUCCACAACCUAGUCAGGUAUUUCCUCAACAUCAGAAAAUAUUCCAAUAAACUUAUCCCCCUUGAACCAACUUGUUGAGUGAAAUUGGGUUUGAAUCCCUUAAACAAGGUCUUGUAUUCAAGUCUUAAAGAUGCUAAAAACGUGAUUGAGAGGGGAAAGUCUAUUAUAGAUGGUUAGCCAAUUUUACGGCGGAGAUUAGUCAUCCGUAAAAUUGGAUGCUUCACACCAAUAGUAAAAAAAAUUAGAGUUUAAUUAGAAUGUUAGUAAAGAACAUGGAAAUCAAAGUCACUUGUCAGUAAAGUCAUACCUGGAAUAAUUUAUGAUUGGUUGAUAGUGCAAAUGAUUUUUUUUCAUUGAUAGAACAUGGAAAUUAAACUAUCGAUUUUUUUUUCUUUAGUUCCUUUAAAAGAUUCCUUAAUGGAAAAUAAACCAAAUUUAUCUUGUUAUCUGUCAGAAAAAAAGAAAAAAAGAAAAAAAGAAAUCUCAACGUACCAGCCAGGUUACUGACAUUACCUUUACUUUUCUCAUUCUUGUUUCUUGAGUAGGCAGAGUACUUGGAAGAGGUACUAAGAGAGUCUUAUUCUCAUCCUGCUGUUGAAGGGAUUAUAAUGUUUUCUGGUCCAGCACAAGCUGGUUUCAACACCACGAUGCUAGCCGAUGAGACUUUCAAAAAUACUGCUGCUAGAGACGUUGUGUGCAAGCUGAUUCAGGAGUGGGGAACUGGGUCUCAUAUUGCCACAGCAGACAAUAGAGGAGUUGUAGAUAUUUCACUGCACCAUGACGAUUAUGAUGUAACUGUUACAUAUCCUCUAAUCCACUGGAAGCCAUUCAUGUGAAAGUGGGUGCAUAAAAUGUUAUGCUUCUGUUGAAGCAAGCAGUCAUUGCAUGUGUAAAGUUGAAUGAUUGUAAUAAAGUGGCUUGCAGCAUCAUGGUUGAUUAUUCUUGUUUUCAAAAUCCUACAACUAACAAUGUUAUUUCUCAUACUCCAACAUAAAACAUAUACAAGUGAUUUUGAUAAAUAUCUAUUAGAUAGUUAAUCACAUAAAUACAUAGAGAGUUAGUUAAGCUUGUUGGUUGAAGAAAUAAGUCAUGUUACCUAUAAAUAAUAAAGGAGGUUAAGAUGUUUAAGGUCUCACUUAAGACAUCCAUUUUCUGAAUGGGCUGAGUUCCUUUUCUAGUUUAACGGUCCAAGCCCAUAUGAAUAAAGAGAAGAAUGAGGAUUCGUGAAUCCAUACUCGGGGGGGCAGUCCCUAUUGGUACCUGAUAAUUAGUUACAUAAAUACUAAAUAGUUAGUGAAGUUAUUGGUCGGAGAAAUAAGUCAAGUUACCAGUAAAUAACAAGAAAGAUUGAGAUAUUAUCUUGUCAUUUGUGCUGAUGUUAUACUGCAGCCAAGGGUAGAUCAAGUGAGAAAAAUCUCAAAAAGGUAGAGUGGGCAAUUUGCAAGAUCAGAUUGUUAAGGGAUGAUUUUCAGUAUCAGUACUCUGAAGUCAGAACAUCAUCGAAAGAUGGAUGGGAGUACCUUUUAAUGUUAGAUAGAUCCAUGAGGAAAAGGUAAAAGUUCUAAUAUUGCCACAAAGAAACUAAUGAACACAUUUUAUUUUCAGUAAUCUCUAAACCAAAAAUGUACUCUUUUGUCAGAAACCUGCUUCCAACUAGUGAUCUAACCUAAUAAAACAUAAGUACAAAACCAUGCUACAUAAAGUUCCUACUACAUCAACUAAGAACUCUUACUGUGGUCCAAAACAAAAGUAAAAUUCAACAAAGUCCUAACAGCUAAGUAAAAAAAUGUGAUAUUGAUUGCAAAACCAGCUUUCCUACCUAUCCAACAGUUAGCUUGACCAAUUGCAAAAAUGUAGAAAGGGAUGAAUUAGACUUAAUUCCUCCUUCCAAUUGAGAUCUCCACACAUAAAUGAAAUCAAAGUCACUUGUUAUGGGUUGGGUUUGAGUUGCUUGGAGGAUUCUUCCUUAAACUUGUAUUUACUGAUCUCUGAGGAGCCUCAUAAACUAUUUUUAAUUUAUCUAAACUUGCAGAGAAGUAGGAGACACGAUCUAGCAGCUUCCGUGGUGGGCACCUACCUAUCAGAUUACUUCUAGUCUCAGUAGUCAUUGAAACUAUAGAGAAAAUGAUGAAGUGCGUGAGAAUUAAGACAAAUAGACCCACCAAAGCACGUUGAGUGGUUCUCAUGGCAGGGUCUUGUGAAAUCAACAAUUGAAGAUAGUUAAAAGAAUGGAGUUCUGGUGCUUGGAACUAUCCCAUAGAAAAGUUUCUAGGCUUGUUUAUGUUGUAGUUUGUGCCUAAGAUAGAAGAAGGGAGAAGUACAGUGGUGAAUCUGAGGUGUAGCAAUCUUUUUUUAUUGUUUGUUGGUGGUUGAAGAGUGAAGACUAUGAUGGACAAUGGAGAACAAAGAGGUUUAGGUAGCUUGCACUAUUUUAAAAGGAUGAAAUGAAACGUAUUUAAGGUUUUUUCAGCCAAUGAAUACUCAAUAGCUGUGUAAAAGAUUCAGAUUUAGGGAAUUGAAGAGGAAGGAGAAGGAUGAUGCAUGGA
RNAcentral lists this long non-coding RNA (2562 nucleotides) under Glycine max (soybean). Its description in RNAcentral is "long non-coding RNA (GMAX_LNC004609)". Lineage: Eukaryota; Viridiplantae; Streptophyta; Magnoliopsida; Fabales; Fabaceae. The record is from RNAcentral.